AUGACCGUGACGCUCCAGGAUAUUGCUAUGAUCACCGGUCUUUCUAUCGAUGGCAAUCCUUUAUGUAUGAACACCGAUUCUGAUGGGUGGCGCGCGCAGAUGCAUGCCCUUAUCGGUAUGGUUCCUCCGGAGCCUCGGGAACCAGAAGCAGAAGAUAAGAAGAAGGAAAGAGUCGCAGCCGGCGCUACUUUCACGUGGAUAUCAUCGAACUUCAGUACUUGCCCCGAGGAUGCUAAUGAGGACAUGGUGAAGACAUAUGCUCGUGUCUACAUGUGGUACGUGAUAUCCAGGACUAUGUUUGCUGAUGGCACAGGUAAGAAUGCUCCAUGGAUGUGGCUGAAGGCGUUGACCGUCUUCGAUGGCAAAUGGAGUUGGGGUUCGGCGACACUGGCUUACUUGUAUCGACAGUUGGACGAAGCCUGUUGUAGGCACACUGGAGGUAUUGGUGGUUGUCUGCUCGCACUUUCCAUAUGGAGCUGGGAGCGUUUGCCGAUUGGACGACCGAAGACUGUGAAGUACGAGGAUUGGGACGACAAAGACGACUCACUACGGCUCCCCACUUGGGCUUACAAGUGGGAUGUGUUAAAUGAGACGACGGAUGAUCCCUCGGUAAUGUACAAGUUGUACAAGAGCGAGCUGGACGCGAUCACGCCUGAGCAGGUGGAAUGGGAGCCGUAUGGAAAAGGAGAGAGUUUUGGUAACCCUAUAGAGUUCAGGCUGAAGCCGAUGUGCACUAGGGAUAGGGAUCUCUGGCAUAUGCGGUCCCCACCGAUAUGCAACUGGGCGGUUGAGCUUCACCUGCCACAUCGGGUGUUCCGCCAGUUUGGUUUAUUCCAGCCACACCCGUCGGAGUGGGAGGACACGGACAAGUUGCUACACGCGUUCGAUAGGAAAAAGCAACGGAAGAUCAAGGAUUGGGCCAAGCAUCACAGGAAGUAUGUCGUGCAGUUCGCUCUUAGUGUGGAGCAAGCAAAGGCUGGAAAACGAGCCCAGCUUCGUGAGCACUGCCCGAUCGCGUUCAACAACUAUCUCACAUGGUUUCUUGCAAGUACCCGCGUGGAGGUAUGCAAGCCGGCGUAUGCUGAGGAGAUUCUGGAAGAACCCACCAUUUUUGAUGAGGUAGCCCAGCACCAGUACAACGCAUUAGUCAGGAAAGGCAACUCAGUGAUGCCUUCAGCUCCAGUGAUGAACUUUGUGCGUGCCCAGAUCAAGAAAGCAGCUGAUGAGACCGAGACUAUUCUGGAAACAACCCCGGCUGGCAAAAGCGAUGGGGAAGGUGCACUUCGAGCAUUCAUUAAGCGCCAGGGCCAAAAGUUAAGGUGGCUAUCAAACUUUUUCGGUUGUCGUGACCCCGAGUAUGUAUCACUAGAAUGGUCUAGGUCGGCGACACCAUCAGAUCCGCUUCGGGGCAGGGCCAUGAUGAACCUUUCGAGGAUGAGGAUGUGGGUGUGGUCACCCAAGAGGUUACUGAUGAUAUGA
RNAcentral lists this ribosomal RNA (1479 nucleotides) under Triticum aestivum (bread wheat). RNAcentral's name for it is "partial small subunit ribosomal RNA". The record is from RNAcentral. Lineage: Eukaryota; Viridiplantae; Streptophyta; Magnoliopsida; Poales; Poaceae.